UACGGAGGGUGCUAGCGUUGUUCGGAAUCACUGGGCGUAAAGGGCGUGUAGGCGGUCUGCUAAGUCCGAUGUGAAAUCCCCUCGCUCAACGAGGGAACUGCGUCGGAUACUGGUAGGCUAGAGUACCGGAGAGGAAGGUGGAAUUCCCGGUGUAGCGGUGAAAUGCGUAGAUAUCGGGAGGAACAUCGGUGGCGAAGGCGGCCUUCUGGACGGAUACUGACGCUGAGACGCGAAAGCGUGGGGAGCAAACAGG
RNAcentral lists this ribosomal RNA (253 nucleotides) under uncultured prokaryote. RNAcentral describes it as "partial 16S ribosomal RNA". It matches the Rfam family "Bacterial small subunit ribosomal RNA", at positions 524 to 776 of the family's 1533-position model. The record is from RNAcentral.